AGUCAUAUGCUUGUCUUAAAGAUUAAGCCAUGCAUGUCUAAGUAUAAAUAGUAUACAGUGAAACUGCGAAUGGCUCAUUAAAACAGUUAUAGUUUAUUUGAUAAUUGAAUUAUACAUGGAUAACCGUGGUAAUUCUAGAGCUAAUACAUGCAGUAAAACCUGACUUUUUGGAAAGGUUGUAUUUAUUAGAUAUCAAACCAAUAUUCCUUCGGGUCUAUUGUGAUGAUUCAUAAUAACUGAUCGAAGCUUAGCUAGUCUAAGCUAAAUCAUUCAAGUUUCUGCCCUAUCAGCUUUCGAUGGUAGUGUAUUGGACUACCAUGGCAGUCACGGGUAACGGGGAAUUAGGGUUCGAUUCCGGAGAGGGAGCCUGAGAAACGGCUACCACAUCUAAGGAAGGCAGCAGGCGCGUAAAUUACCCAAUCCUGACUCAGGGAGGUAGUGACAAGAAAUAACAACUCGGGGCCUCACGGCUUACGAGAUUGCAAUGAGAACAAUUUAAA
RNAcentral lists this ribosomal RNA (500 nucleotides) under uncultured eukaryote. RNAcentral describes it as "SSU rRNA". It matches the Rfam family "Eukaryotic small subunit ribosomal RNA", at positions 22 to 529 of the family's 1831-position model. The record is from RNAcentral.